Unclassified non-coding RNA from Pongo abelii (Sumatran orangutan), 147 nucleotides. It matches the Rfam family "Metazoan signal recognition particle RNA". Rfam says of the family: The signal recognition particle (SRP) is a universally conserved ribonucleoprotein. It is involved in the co-translational targeting of proteins to membranes. The eukaryotic SRP consists of a 300-nucleotide 7S RNA and six proteins: SRPs 72, 68, 54, 19, 14, and 9. Lineage: Eukaryota; Metazoa; Chordata; Mammalia; Primates; Hominidae. The record is from Ensembl.
GCUGGGCAUGGUGGCGCGUGCCUGUAGUCCCAGCUACUCAGGAGGCCAAGGCAGGCGAAUCACUUGAACCCGGGGGUACAGGUUGCAGUGAGUCGAGAUCGUGCCACUGCACUCCAGCCUGGGUGACAGAGUGAGACCCUGUCUCAA